RNAcentral lists this ribosomal RNA (442 nucleotides) under uncultured bacterium. Its description in RNAcentral is "partial 16S ribosomal RNA". It matches the Rfam family "Bacterial small subunit ribosomal RNA", at positions 338 to 795 of the family's 1533-position model. The record is from RNAcentral.
CCUACGGGUGGCAGCAGUGGGGAAUAUUGCACAAUGGGGGAAACCCUGAUGCAGCGACGCCGCGUGGGCGAAGAAGUAUUUCGGUAUGUAAAGCCCUAUCAGCAGGGAAGAAGAAAUGACGGUACCUGACUAAGAAGCACCUGCUAAAUACGUGCCAGCAGCCGCGGUAAUACGUAUGGUGCAAGCGUUAUCCGGAUUUACUGGGUGUAAAGGGAGCGCAGGCGGCACGGCAAGCCUGAUGUGAAAGCCCGCGGCCCAACCGCGGGACUGCAUUGGGAACUACCGGGCUGGAGUGCCGGAGAGGUAGGCGGAAGUCCUAGUGUAGCGGUGAAAUGCGUAGAUAUUAGGAGGAACACCAGUGGCGAAGGCGGCCUACUGGACGGUGACUGACGCUGAGGCUCGAAAGCGUGGGGAGCAAACAGGAUUAGAUACCCGAGUAGUC